This 29-nucleotide non-coding RNA is filed under the name Mus musculus (house mouse). The record is from RNAcentral. Lineage: Eukaryota; Metazoa; Chordata; Mammalia; Rodentia; Muridae.
UAAUUCCCUUGCUUUCAGUCCUGCACUCU